This 1212-nucleotide long non-coding RNA is filed under the name Felis catus (domestic cat). RNAcentral's name for it is "lncRNA (ENSFCAG00000045665.2)". The stretch from base 1001 to 1085 matches the Rfam family "tRNA". The record is from RNAcentral. Lineage: Eukaryota; Metazoa; Chordata; Mammalia; Carnivora; Felidae.
GUGGGCCCGUGCGCUGCUCCUGAGCGGCCGGGCUCUGCGCCCCUCCGGGUGCAGCCCGCCCUCUGUCGGGUGUCCCUCUCUGGUCUGUGAACCCCCUGAGGGGCAGCCAUUCCUGUCACCCCUCAUGUGUGUCCUCCCAUCGCCGCCGGCGCCCAACCCACAGUGGAGCCCGGUCACCGGCUCUUUACCAGGUCAUGCCCUGUCCCCGGGGCCGGCCCCGGUUGUCCUGCCUCCCUUCGCCUCCCCUGAGUCUCCUGCUUUGUACCAAGUUGGGUGGUCUAGAAACUCUGGCCUGGCCCCACGCAGUGUCCACAGACAACUCUGAAGAUCGGAAGAGACCCAUUUUUUAGUCUGUUGGCAUCUUUUGCUCUGUCACGUGAUGCAUUCACCGUCCGGGCUUGGCCAGCGCGGAGUCUGCUCGCUGUCCCCUCUGCGUGUGCCUCAGACACUGACGGCAGCGGUUACAGGCCAGGCCUGGGGGAGACCCUUGCACAGUCCCUGCCGUGCUGUUCUCAGAUCAGCCCCCACGCUGUGCCCUCAGCACCCAACACCAGUCUGCUCCCCCGAGGAGCUCGCGUUAGGAACGUAGACCCCAAGAUCCAUCUGUCAGAGGAGUGUCCGCGGCACAGGGGGUCGACGGGACCACACUGACACUUGGAAAAUGAUGCCUGUGAUAACAGAAGUUUCUGGACCGUGGCAGGGAAUCUGCGGUUCCUCGUGGACACGAUUCAGCUGUGUGCGGCCCACUGUGGUUCUUCCCCUCUGUCUCCCUGAGAUGCACACUUUCCCCCAAGACUCGACAGGCACACCGAGAAUUCCUGGACUGUCCUGCCAUGCCACCAACUUAGCUUUGUGGUUUCAUCUACACACUUCACAUCAUUACUUACGGUUUAUUUCUCCUGACCAGCUACGAAGGCGGUCUCGCUGGGUUCUUUGCCCUCUUCUCCCCCAAAUGCUAACCAGGGCAGGAUUUUGUGUUUAAAGCACCAGUCAGGGGGGCGCCUGGGUGGCUCAGUCGGUUGAGCAUCUGACUUCAGUUCAGGUCAUGAUCUCAUGGUCUGUGAGUUCGAGCCCCGCGUCGGGCUCUGUGCUGACAGCUCAGAGCCUGGAGCCUGCUUCAGAUUCUGUGUCUCCCUCUCUCUCUGACCCUCCCCUGCUCAUGCUCUGUCUCUCUCUGUCUCAAAAAUAAAUUAAAAAAUUAAAAAAAAAGCA